GGCCCGUUCGUCUAGGUGGUUAGGACGCCAGGUUUUCAUCCUGGAAAUCAGGGGUUCGAAUCCCCUACGGGCUACCA
This 77-nucleotide transfer RNA is filed under the name Bacteroidales bacterium. RNAcentral's name for it is "tRNA-Glu". It matches the Rfam family "tRNA". From Rfam's summary of the family: Transfer RNA (tRNA) molecules are approximately 80 nucleotides in length. Their secondary structure includes four short double-helical elements and three loops (D, anti-codon, and T loops). The record is from RNAcentral. Lineage: Bacteria; Pseudomonadati; Bacteroidota; Bacteroidia; Bacteroidales.